This 493-nucleotide ribosomal RNA is filed under the name uncultured bacterium. RNAcentral describes it as "partial 16S ribosomal RNA". It matches the Rfam family "Bacterial small subunit ribosomal RNA", at positions 27 to 507 of the family's 1533-position model. The record is from RNAcentral.
GAGUGAACGCUGGCGGUAGGCCUAACACAUGCAAGUCGAACGGCAGCACAGUAAGAGCUUGCUCUUACGGGUGGCGAGUGGCGGACGGGUGAGGAAUACAUCGGAAUCUACUUUUUCGUGGGGGAUAACGUAGGGAAACUUACGCUAAUACCGCAUACGACCUACGGGUGAAAGCAGGGGAUCUUCGGACCUUGCGCGAUUGAAUGAGCCGAUGUCGGAUUAGCUAGUUGGCGGGGUAAAGGCCCACCAAGGCGACGAUCCGUAGCUGGUCUGAGAGGAUGAUCAGCCACACUGGAACUGAGACACGGUCCAGACUCCUACGGGAGGCAGCAGUGGGGAAUAUUGGACAAUGGGCACAAGCCUGAUCCAGCCAUACCGCGUGGGUGAAGAAGGCCUUCGGGUUGUAAAGCCCUUUUGUUGGGAAAGAAAAGCAGCAGGUUAAUACCCCGCUGUUCUGACGGUACCCAAAGAAUAAGCACCGGCUAACUUCGUG